AAACGCCCGGUUACAUUCCGAACCCGGAAGCUAAGCCUUUCAGCGCCGAUGGUACUGCAGGGGGGACCCUGUGGGAGAGUAGGACGCCGCCGAACA
Molecule: ribosomal RNA, 96 nt
Filed under: Actinacidiphila cocklensis
Lineage: Bacteria; Bacillati; Actinomycetota; Actinomycetes; Kitasatosporales; Streptomycetaceae
Source: RNAcentral